RNAcentral lists this ribosomal RNA (201 nucleotides) under Moxostoma valenciennesi (greater redhorse). RNAcentral's name for it is "partial small subunit ribosomal RNA". Lineage: Eukaryota; Metazoa; Chordata; Actinopteri; Cypriniformes; Catostomidae. The record is from RNAcentral.
CACCGCGGGUUAUACGAGAGGCCCUAGUUGAUAAGAACGGCGUUAAAGGGUGGUUAGAGGAGUACAAAAAUAAAGCUGAAGGACCCUCUGGCCGUUAUACGCUUCCAGGUACCCGAAACCCGAACACGAAAGUAGCUUUAAUUUAGACCACUUGACCCCACGAAAACUGAGGAACAAACUGGGAUUAGAUACCCCACUAUG